Molecule: ribosomal RNA, 497 nt
Filed under: uncultured bacterium
Lineage: Bacteria
Description: partial 16S ribosomal RNA
Rfam family: Bacterial small subunit ribosomal RNA
Source: RNAcentral
GAUGAACGCUGGCGGCGUGCCUAAUACAUGCAAGUCGAGCGAACGGACGAGAAGCUUGCUUCUCUGAUGUUAGCGGCGGACGGGUGAGUAACACGUGGAUAACCUACCUAUAAGACUGGGAUAACUUCGGGAAACCGUAGCUAAUACCGGAUAAUAUUUUGAACCGCAUGGUUCAAAAGUGAAAGACGGUCUUGCUGUCACUUAUAUAUGGAUCCGCGCUGCAUUAGCUAGUUGGUAAGGUAACGGCUUACCAAGGCAACGAUGCAUAGCCGACCUGAGAGGGUGAUCGGCCACACUGGAACUGAGACACGGUCCAGACUCCUACGGGAGGCAGCAGUAGGGAAUCUUCCGCAAAGGGCGAAAGCCUGACGGAGCAACGCCGCGUGAGUGAUGAAGGUCUUCGGAUCGUAAAACUCUGUUAUUAGGGAAGAACAUAUGUGUAAGUAACUGUGCACAUCUUGACGGUACCUAAUCAGAAAGCCACGGCUAACUACGUG